GACGAACGCUGGCGGCGUGCCUAAUACAUGCGAGUCGAGCGGACUGAAUGGGAGCUUGCUCUUGUUCGGUCAGCGGCGGACGGGUGAGUAACACGUGGGCAACCUGCCCGCAAGACCGGGAUAACUCCGGGAAACCGGAGCUAAUACCGGAUAACACCGAAGACCGCAUGGUCUUUGGUUGAAAGGCGGCGCAAGCUGCCACUUGCGGAUGGGCCCGCGGCGCAUUAGCUAGUUGGUGAGGUAACGGCUCACCAAGGCGACGAUGCGUAGCCGGCCUGAGGGGGUGACCGGCCGCACUGGGAGUGAGACACGGCCCAGACUCCUACGGGAGGCAGCAGUAGGGAAUCUUCCGCAAUGGGCGAAAGACUGACGGAGCGACGCCGCGUGAGCAAAGAAGGCCUUCGGGUCGUAAAGCUCUGUUGUGAGGGACGAAGGAGCGCCGUUUGAAGAAGGCGGCGCGGUGACGGUACCUCACGAGGAAGCCCCGGCUAACUACGUG
RNAcentral lists this ribosomal RNA (499 nucleotides) under uncultured bacterium. Its description in RNAcentral is "partial 16S ribosomal RNA". It matches the Rfam family "Bacterial small subunit ribosomal RNA", at positions 28 to 507 of the family's 1533-position model. The record is from RNAcentral.